Long non-coding RNA from Labeo rohita (rohu), 2170 nucleotides. RefSeq lists it as uncharacterized. NCBI's taxonomy places the organism in Eukaryota, Metazoa, Chordata, Actinopteri, Cypriniformes, Cyprinidae. The transcript has 3 exons. The record is from RefSeq and is a predicted model, not a curated record.
GAGCGGGGCGUCCAGCGGCAGCUCUUCCCGCCUCACUCCUUCAUCCUCUCCCACACUCGCUCCGCUCCUCCUCAUCCAGCGCCGGAGCCAGACUGCAGCUCAGGCAUUUUAUGAUUUAACUGCAGGGAUAGAUGACGGUAAUGAAGACGGCUCCUCACCGUCUGCUCCUCAUGGGGUAACAUCAGAUGAUAAUCUGCUUCACAGCACAUGUGUCAGAUGGAAGGAAUGCUAAUCUGGAAGAGGUGCAGAGCUAGGACUUUUUGGCAGCCAGUUUCCACUCUGCACUUACUUUCCAUGUGGUGCCGCUCCAGAGGCUCCGGGCAGGAGAAGUCUGUUUGGGGAACAGAGGUGUUGACGGAUCCCAGAUCGCCCCAUUGGCCACGCCCCCCCAUCCGAGGGUCACGGCUCUGCUGGACAACUGACCUGAACUUCUGUUCCAACAUCAUGUCCAGAUCUGUAGUUCAUAUUAGGGUCUAGAAUGGAGGAUUGUGAUUUCUGAAUGAAGAUGUGAAAUGUGCGAGACCCAGGUUUCCUGAUCUUCACCUGUCAACAGGUUUUACACCAGAGAGCUGUUUGUUUGCACUCUACAAUCCCUGAAUGGUAAAUGAAUCAAAUACUCAGUACUGUGCUUAAACUGUGGACAGCGAUGAUAUAUAUUAGAUCAGCAAAGGGUUAUUAAAAUCAACUAAAACUGAACUUUAAAGUUGGCUUGAGAAAGCCUAGCCUGAAAGUUUAGAUAAACAGAUUAGAUAAAUCUUGGUAGUAUAUUGCUAGCAUGAUUUAACACAUUGUUAACAUGAUUUAACAUUUUGUUAGCAUGUUUUAACAUGAUUAGCAUGUUUCUAGCAUGAGUAGCAAGAUGCUAACAUGUUUUGAACAUUAUUAGCAUGUUGCUAGCAUUUUUAUAACACGGUCAGCAUGUUGCUAACAUGUUUCUAGCAUGAUUACCACGUUGCUAGCAUAUUUUUAGCGUGAUUUAACGUUGCUAAAAUUAAUUAAAAAAAUUAGCUGAAAAACAGCUGAUUUAAAAAAAUAAAUAAAUAAAUAAAAACCAAGCUAAAACCAACCUAGGCUGGUUUUCUAGUCUUAACUGGUUUAAGAUGAAAAUAGCUGGAAAAUUAGCAGAUCUCUCAGCCUGACCAGCUAAAAAGUGGCCAAAACCACUUGAAAACCAGACCAAUCAGCUUAGGCUGGUUUUAGCUGUUUUGUCAGUAGGGAGUUGUUGCUUUGCUAUAGCAAUAGACAGCUUAAAUACACCAUAAGUCUCAUUGUACAAAAGUUUUCACCUCCUCUAUGAAAGUCUAUGUAAUUUUUGGUGGAUUUGAUAGUCUGGUUUACAAAAACCGUAAGUCGGGUCAGUCAGAAAAGACACAGCACACCAAGUCAGACCUGUCUGAAGACCUCACCCAAGUUUGGUGGUUGUAGUUUGGAGGAGUUAAAAUUUAACUCUUAAGUUUAAAUUAAGUUUAAAUUUUGGCUCAGAAGAAGCUUAAAUACUAAAUCAGUAAGUUGGCUUUCUCAAACCAAUUUAAUAAAUUAUAUGUAUAGUACUAAUACUAAUUAUACUGCAGUCCCACAUUAGAUUUGUACACUUGAAUUUCAAUAAAGUAAUUAAAGUACUUGAUUUGGUCAUGAACAGCUGUUUCAUACAACAUGGUUGUGUUAAUGAUUCAAUGACUCGCACCACAUGGUGGCACAAAAAUAUUGUCACUUGUUGUCAUUUUCUAUAAUGUACAGUAUAGUGUAAUGUCAUGCAUGAGCGUUUGUUACUAAGCGAGUUGUGACUGUAUCUGUAUUGGAACAGAAUCAGAAUCAGCUUAAACCAGAAGCACAUCAAACUAAACGAAAACCCCAUUUUUAAAUGUAACUCUAGUCCAUGUGUAGUUUCCAUUAUGUAUAAUUCACAAAUAUAUAUAUAUAUAUACACAUAUAUUGAGCUAAAUAAAAGAUUUUGAUUCCUCUCAGAGACUGGACUGUUUUGAGUCUGUUCACCAAAAAGAUUAAUUCAUUCUCCCUAUCUUCAGGUAACACGUUACACAGUAAUACUUUACUUUAUUCUUAUUACUUUUCCUGAUCAUGCAAUAAUGUAAUGCAUUACAUUUUAAAUGUAUGUAAUUUUAUUACAGUUACUAAUGUCAACAAAAUUACGUUACUUAAGUUACAAACGCAG